RNAcentral lists this ribosomal RNA (313 nucleotides) under uncultured eukaryote. RNAcentral describes it as "partial 18S ribosomal RNA". It matches the Rfam family "Eukaryotic small subunit ribosomal RNA", at positions 1470 to 1796 of the family's 1831-position model. The record is from RNAcentral.
CCCUUAGAUGUCCUGGGCCGCACGCGCGCUACACUGAACGGAUCAGCGCGUUUUCCCUUCCCGAGAGGGACGGGUAACCUGCUGAACCCCGUUCGUGGUAGGGAUCGGGGCUUGCAAUUAUUCCCCGUGAACCAGGAAUGCCCAGUAAGUGCAAGUCAUAAGCUUGCGUUGAUUACGUCCCUGCCCUUUGUACACACCGCCCGUCGCACCUACCGAUUGAAUGGUCCGGUGAAGCCUCCGGAUUGGCGCGCACCCCGGUGCCGCCGAGAAGUUGGCUAAACCUUACCAUUUAGAGGAAGGUGAAGUCGUAACA